UGCCGCGUGCAGGACGAAGGCCUUCGGGUUGUAAACUGCUUUUGUACGGAACGAAACGGCUCUCUCUAAUACAGGGGGCUAAUGACGGUACCGUAAGAAUAAGCACCGGCUAACUACGUGCCAGCAGCCGCGGUAAUACGUAGGGUGCGAGCGUUAAUCGGAAUUACUGGGCGUAAAGCGUGCGCAGGCGGUUUUGUAAGACAGAUGUGAAAUCCCCGGGCUCAACCUGGGACCUGCAUUUGUGACUGCAAAGCUAGAGUACGGCAGAGGGGGAUGGAAUUCCGCGUGUAGCAGUGAAAUGCGUAGAUAUGCGGAGGAACACCGAUGGCGAAGGCAAUCCCCUGGGCCUGUACUGACGCUCAUGCACGAAAGCGUGGGGAGCAAACAGGAUUAGAUACCCUGGUAGUCCACGCCCUAAACGAUGUCAACUGGUUGUUGGGUCUUCACUGACUCAGUAACGAAGCUA
This 466-nucleotide ribosomal RNA is filed under the name Comamonadaceae bacterium. Its description in RNAcentral is "bacterial SSU rRNA". It matches the Rfam family "Bacterial small subunit ribosomal RNA", at positions 395 to 854 of the family's 1533-position model. The record is from RNAcentral. Lineage: Bacteria; Pseudomonadati; Pseudomonadota; Betaproteobacteria; Burkholderiales; Comamonadaceae.